This 484-nucleotide ribosomal RNA is filed under the name uncultured bacterium. RNAcentral's name for it is "partial 16S ribosomal RNA". It matches the Rfam family "Bacterial small subunit ribosomal RNA", at positions 28 to 523 of the family's 1533-position model. The record is from RNAcentral.
GAUGAACGCUGGCGGCGUGCUUAACACAUGCAAGUCGAACGGUGAAGCAGGAGCUUGCUCUUGUGGAUCAGUGGCGAACGGGUGAGUAACACGUGAGCAACCUGCCCCUGACUCUGGGAUAAGCGCUGGAAACGGCGUCUAAUACUGGAUAUGUGAUGUGACCGCAUGGUCUGCAUCUGGAAAGAAUUUCGGUUGGGGAUGGGCUCGCGGCCUAUCAGCUUGUUGGUGAGGUAAGGGCUCCCCAAGGCGUCGACGGGUAGCCGGCCUGAGAGGGGGACCGGCCACACUGGGGCUGAGACACGGCCCAGACUCCUACGGGAGGCAGCAGUGGGGAAUAUUGCACAAUGGGCGGAAGCCUGAUGCAGCAACGCCGCGUGAGGGAUGACGGCCUUCGGGUUGUAAACCUCUUUUAGCAGGGAAGAAGCGAAAGUGACGGUACCUGCAGAAAAAGCACCGGCUAACUACGUGCCAGCCGCCGCAGUAA